CCGUCUGCGGUUUCCAUGGCAACGCCAUUGUUACAUCAAUUGUCUGCCAUGCUGCGAUUCGUAGCCGUCGUCAGUCGUUGUAGCCCGCCGGACCACGUUCGGAGGAGAUCCCUGCAUAUCCAACGGCGGACGGCUGAAAAAAAAUCAUUGCAGCCUGUCAUAAGUACUCAUGUCAGCACUGGUACUUCCGGCCGAUCUGCCGCGCGACGCGCUGCUUCUACCUGCGGAGAAAUGGCAGGCCAUCCGCGGCCACCUGACUGGGCAGCAGGAGCGACAGCAGCGGCGACAGCAGGAGCAGGAGCACGAGCUGCGACGGCGUGCGGUCUCUGCGCACAUCCGACGCGACUGGCCUCGUGACGGUCAGUCGUGAAACGUCAUGUUGGGAGUGCAGAUGACUGCCCGCUGCAGGGUGUUGAGCGCGUCAUCCCGGUAGAGGGCCGAGAUGGUGGUGGGCGUUUCAGCCGCCUCCACUCCGUCCGCUCCGGUUCGAGGAGUCAGC
Amphibalanus amphitrite is the source of this 499-nucleotide long non-coding RNA. RefSeq lists it as uncharacterized. NCBI's taxonomy places the organism in Eukaryota, Metazoa, Arthropoda, Thecostraca, Balanomorpha, Balanidae. The transcript is spliced from 3 exons. The record is from RefSeq and is a predicted model, not a curated record.